This 2900-nucleotide ribosomal RNA is filed under the name Klebsiella pneumoniae. Its description in RNAcentral is "bacterial LSU rRNA". It matches the Rfam family "Bacterial large subunit ribosomal RNA". The record is from RNAcentral. Lineage: Bacteria; Pseudomonadati; Pseudomonadota; Gammaproteobacteria; Enterobacterales; Enterobacteriaceae.
UUAAGCGACUAAGCGUACACGGUGGAUGCCCUGGCAGUCAGAGGCGAUGAAGGACGUGCUAAUCUGCGAAAAGCGUCGGUAAGGUGAUAUGAACCGUUAUAGCCGGCGAUGUCCGAAUGGGGAAACCCAGUGCAAUUCGUUGCACUAUCGUUAACUGAAUACAUAGGUUAACGAGGCGAACCGGGGGAACUGAAACAUCUAAGUACCCCGAGGAAAAGAAAUCAACCGAGAUUCCCCCAGUAGCGGCGAGCGAACGGGGAGCAGCCCAGAGUCUGAAUCAGCUUGUGUGUUAGUGGAACGGUCUGGAAAGUCCGACGGUACAGGGUGAUAGUCCCGUACACCAAAAUGCACAGGCUGUGAACUCGAAGAGUAGGGCGGGACACGUGGUAUCCUGUCUGAAUAUGGGGGGACCAUCCUCCAAGGCUAAAUACUCCUGACUGACCGAUAGUGAACCAGUACCGUGAGGGAAAGGCGAAAAGAACCCCGGCGAGGGGAGUGAAAAAGAACCUGAAACCGUGUACGUACAAGCAGUGGGAGCACCUUCGGGUGUGACUGCGUACCUUUUGUAUAAUGGGUCAGCGACUUAUAUUCUGUAGCAAGGUUAACCGUAUAGGGGAGCCGCAGGGAAACCGAGUCUUAACUGGGCGUUAAGUUGCAGGGUAUAGACCCGAAACCCGGUGAUCUAGCCAUGGGCAGGUUGAAGGUUGGGUAACACUAACUGGAGGACCGAACCGACUAAUGUUGAAAAAUUAGCGGAUGACUUGUGGCUGGGGGUGAAAGGCCAAUCAAACCGGGAGAUAGCUGGUUCUCCCCGAAAGCUAUUUAGGUAGCGCCUCGUGAACUCAUCUUCGGGGGUAGAGCACUGUUUCGGCUAGGGGGUCAUCCCGACUUACCAACCCGAUGCAAACUACGAAUACCGAAGAAUGUUAUCACGGGAGACACACGGCGGGUGCUAACGUCCGUCGUGAAGAGGGAAACAACCCAGACCGCCAGCUAAGGUCCCAAAGUCAUGGUUAAGUGGGAAACGAUGUGGGAAGGCACAGACAGCCAGGAUGUUGGCUUAGAAGCAGCCAUCAUUUAAAGAAAGCGUAAUAGCUCACUGGUCGAGUCGGCCUGCGCGGAAGAUGUAACGGGGCUAAACCAUGCACCGAAGCUGCGGCAGCGACACUAUGUGUUGUUGGGUAGGGGAGCGUUCUGUAAGCCUGCGAAGGUGUGCUGUGAGGCAUGCUGGAGGUAUCAGAAGUGCGAAUGCUGACAUAAGUAACGAUAAAGCGGGUGAAAAGCCCGCUCGCCGGAAGACCAAGGGUUCCUGUCCAACGUUAAUCGGGGCAGGGUGAGUCGACCCCUAAGGCGAGGCCGAAAGGCGUAGUCGAUGGGAAACAGGUUAAUAUUCCUGUACUUGGUGUUACUGCGAAGGGGGGACGGAGAAGGCUAUGUUAGCCGGGCGACGGUUGUCCCGGUUUAAGCAUGUAGGCUGAUUGUCCAGGCAAAUCCGGAUAAUCAAGGCUGAGGUGUGAUGACGAGGCACUACGGUGCUGAAGUAACAAAUGCCCUGCUUCCAGGAAAAGCCUCUAAGCAUCAGGUAACAUCAAAUCGUACCCCAAACCGACACAGGUGGUCAGGUAGAGAAUACCAAGGCGCUUGAGAGAACUCGGGUGAAGGAACUAGGCAAAAUGGUGCCGUAACUUCGGGAGAAGGCACGCUGGUGUGUAGGUGAAGUCCCUGCGGAUGGAGCUGAGACCAGUCGAAGAUACCAGCUGGCUGCAACUGUUUAUUAAAAACACAGCACUGUGCAAACACGAAAGUGGACGUAUACGGUGUGACGCCUGCCCGGUGCCGGAAGGUUAAUUGAUGGGGUUAUCCGUAAGGAGAAGCUCUUGAUCGAAGCCCCGGUAAACGGCGGCCGUAACUAUAACGGUCCUAAGGUAGCGAAAUUCCUUGUCGGGUAAGUUCCGACCUGCACGAAUGGCGUAAUGAUGGCCAGGCUGUCUCCACCCGAGACUCAGUGAAAUUGAACUCGCUGUGAAGAUGCAGUGUACCCGCGGCAAGACGGAAAGACCCCGUGAACCUUUACUAUAGCUUGACACUGAACAUUGAGCCUUGAUGUGUAGGAUAGGUGGGAGGCUUUGAAGCGUGGACGCCAGUCUGCGUGGAGCCAACCUUGAAAUACCACCCUUUAAUGUUUGAUGUUCUAACGUUGGCCCCUUACCGGGGUUGCGGACAGUGUCUGGUGGGUAGUUUGACUGGGGCGGUCUCCUCCCAAAGCGUAACGGAGGAGCACGAAGGUUAGCUAAUCCUGGUCGGACAUCAGGAGGUUAGUGCAAUGGCAUAAGCUAGCUUGACUGCGAGCGUGACGGCGCGAGCAGGUGCGAAAGCAGGUCAUAGUGAUCCGGUGGUUCUGAAUGGAAGGGCCAUCGCUCAACGGAUAAAAGGUACUCCGGGGAUAACAGGCUGAUACCGCCCAAGAGUUCAUAUCGACGGCGGUGUUUGGCACCUCGAUGUCGGCUCAUCACAUCCUGGGGCUGAAGUAGGUCCCAAGGGUAUGGCUGUUCGCCAUUUAAAGUGGUACGCGAGCUGGGUUUAGAACGUCGUGAGACAGUUCGGUCCCUAUCUGCCGUGGGCGCUGGAGAAUUGAGGGGGGCUGCUCCUAGUACGAGAGGACCGGAGUGGACGCAUCACUGGUGUUCGGGUUGUCAUGCCAAUGGCACUGCCCGGUAGCUAAAUGCGGAAGAGAUAAGUGCUGAAAGCAUCUAAGCACGAAACUUGCCCCGAGAUGAGUUCUCCCUGAGACUAUAAGUCUCCUGAAGGAACGUUAAAGACGAUGACGUUGAUAGGCCGGGUGUGUAAGCGCAGCGAUGCGUUGAGCUAACCGGUACUAAUGAACCGUGAGGCUUAACCUU